AAAUCUUGUAAUCCUUGAAGGACCACCAGUGGCGAAGGUGUCUCACCAGAACGGACCUGACGGCAAGGGACGAAAGCUAGGGGCACGAACCGGAUUAGAUACCCGGGUAGUCCUAGCCGUAAACGAUACUCGCUAGGUGUCGGCCACGGUGCGACCGUUGUCGGUGCCGUAGGGAAGCCGUGAAGCGAGCCACCUGGGAAGUACGGCCGCAAGGCUGAAACUUAAAGGAAUUGGCGGGGGAGCACCACAACGGGUGGAGCUUGCGGUUUAAUUGGAUUCAACGCCGGAAAUCUUACCGGGACCGACAGCAAUAUGAAGGCCAGGCUGAAGACUUUGCCGGAUUAGCUGAGAGGUGGUGCAUGGCCGUCGUCAGUUCGUACUGUGAAGCAUCCUGUUAAGUCAGGUAACGAGCGAGACCC
This 419-nucleotide ribosomal RNA is filed under the name unidentified archaeon. Its description in RNAcentral is "bacterial SSU rRNA". It matches the Rfam family "Archaeal small subunit ribosomal RNA", at positions 635 to 1053 of the family's 1478-position model. The record is from RNAcentral.